RNAcentral lists this long non-coding RNA (2584 nucleotides) under Mus musculus (house mouse). Its description in RNAcentral is "long non-coding RNA chr5:148313469-148316053". The record is from RNAcentral. Lineage: Eukaryota; Metazoa; Chordata; Mammalia; Rodentia; Muridae.
CCUCCUCUGGACCCUCCUCUCCGGCCAGAGUCAGUACCACACCUAGAUGACAUCACCCUGCCACCCAUAGGAGCUCAGGCUUCUGCCCAUCUGAGGGCGUGCUGGCCAGGUGCCGGUGGCCACCUUGUGCGCAUGCUCGGUAGCUGCACAGUGCGCAUGCUCGGUAGCUGCACAAUGCAUCUUAGGCAGCGUCCUCUCUGACCCUUGUGCAAGACCAUCCUGGUAUUGGCGCUUAGGAAGGUGUAAGCAGCAGAGUCUGGUGUCCACAAAAAGAAAAAAAAAUGUUUUAGUAUAGUGAGAAGCAAAAGAGAAACAACUCCAAUUGUCCUUGAGCGACGAACUUCCAUGGCAGAACUUUAGGUCAGUCACAAACAGCUCCGUUUUGAAUACACGAAACCCUCCUUGUACCAACCGCCGCAUGUGUAUAUCCAGAUGUGUGGGUAUACAACUGUGGCGAUUCCGAAUUGCAUUUUUUUAUAACGCGAUACGCUGACAUAUUUUAGUGAAGGUCAGCAGUUUUCUAACUUGUGCCUAAGAAUUAUUGGGAAAUGAAAAUGCAUUUCUAUCUAGUUUCCUGGAAAUAUUUCUACCCAAAAUAGAGAAGAAAAGAAGGAAAGAAAGAAAGAAAAAAAAAGAAAAGGUAGAAGCAUGCCUAUCUGCCACCGAGUGAUCCCCUGCUUAACCUAAACACCAGCGAUUUGUAGAUGGUAACUGCCUUUGGAAAAAUAGCUUCUUAGUCCAACGUGACUGGGGUCACUGGUACCCCACUGCAGGAUUUAAUUAUGACUUCUCCUAUCCCAAGGAGGUGAAAUGUAGCGGGGUGGGGGUGGGGGGAACUGAGGAGUCAUAUAGUCUGGCCAAUGUUUUCCUCCUUAGUGAUUCAUUAUCUUGAAAACACCAGUUUUGCUCCGCCCCCCCCCCCAAUGGCAUCUUGGAAUCCAUCAUCAAGCUAGUAUUGCGUCCUCAGGAAAACAUGGGAGCAUGUGGCUUUUGCAGCGAGGAUGAGCCUGAACUUGGAGAAGAUCAAGACCAUGCAUGGCUCAUCUUCAUGACAGAGGAGUCUGGUAGGGCCACCAUGGCUCCCAUCACGGCCUCUCAUAGGCAACACCCCCAUUUUCAGUUUGGUUCUAUGACUCGACCCCAUCACCACACAACAAGAUGGCUCAGGGGUUCCAGUCAAGGCUUCCAGAAACCAGCCUUUCUCUCUUGGGGAAAGGAGGGAAGCCAGUUCUAAAGGUGCUAGAUCAUGUCCCUUCUGCUGGAGGGUCACCAGGGCUGCACCUGGUAGUAGUCCCAUCUUAGCCCCAGAAGGCUCUCCCAGACAAGGGAACGCAGUGAAACGGCCAGCCGGCAUCCAUCAGCCACUGGACUGGCCUUUGACUCUAACACGGUAGAAAUUAGACCACGAAAGGUAUUCAUGUAGUGCUAUGGAAGAUUAGAGGCAUGAUCCACAAAGGAGAAGUAGUUUUAACAGUCAACACAGUGCCGAUAACGAUACCUUUGUUUCCUGUAUAUGACAAGAGACCCUUCACUUUCUAAGCAUGGGCCUGCCUGUCUUUGAGCAUGCCCAAGAUGACAAGAGCAAUGGAGCCAAGCAGAAAUGGCCUGGGCAUGGUGACAGCUUCUCCAAGGAUACACAUAACUGACUCAGAGGCAAAUGUGGUCUGUAUCCCUUCUAUGGCUCUGAGUUGGGCGUCCUUGGCCUCGGAUGCAUCUGACUGUAGCCAGCUUCCAUGGGUCUUGCCCAUUCUGGAGACACACACGGUAGAUACACAGAGAAGAAACAGGUCUUUUCCCUUUGGCUCUGCAUGAUACUGGGAUACUGAGCUGGGCAUUCCAUAAUAGUAGCCCAUGCCAUGUCAGUUACACACACACACACACAAAUAUUUAUUCUUUUAGCAGGCACAACCUGCAGGUAUAAGUUUGGUUGGCCACUUAGCUCUCCAAGUUAGGACCCGCCUCCACAGCUGUACCUGCUGAGGGCAGGUACUCAGCAAUACAGAGUUCGAUGUGAUUAUAGAAUGUGGUGCAGUAUGUUAGGCUGUUGUGGUCAAAGUGGUAGCAAUGUUAGAUCUAUGUACCCUCAUUAGGUGGACUAGAGCUUUGCCCUAAUCAGCCUCGACCCUGGGCACUUGAAUAAAUCUCCCCAUGGCCCUGGCUUCGUUUCUCCAUCACAGACACCCAUCACAUAUGGUACCCCACUUGAAUUAAGUUCUGAGAUCCAGGUGGCCAGAGCUGCUAUGAUUCCUCUGCCUCCAUGCUGCUAUGAUCCGGACCUCUCGGCAUGGAAACCCGAGUCUGUCUCCCUUCCCAGGCUGGGGAACUGCGCCCUCCCCUCCUGCCACAGACAGACCUGCCAAACAGCUCUGUUCUUCAUGGAGUCAGGAGGUCCUGCUGGCCUGCAGCAACUCAGUUGCCUUGGGCUGGGACUGCAUUCUUGUGAUGUCUGGAUGGGUUUGGGGCUGGAGGUCAGGUACUCUGGGAUUAGCUGAAGGGGGCACAGUGUUCUUUGUCCUGCCCCUCCGGUUAACUGUGCUCCAUAUUUGUGUUGAACUCUAAAAGCAUAUUAAAGUGAACCUGAGGG